CUGACCUGCAAAUUCAGGAG
RNAcentral lists this ribosomal RNA (20 nucleotides) under polypore sp. E7104. RNAcentral describes it as "partial 26S ribosomal RNA". Lineage: Eukaryota; Fungi; Basidiomycota; Agaricomycetes; Polyporales; Polyporaceae. The record is from RNAcentral.